Otolemur garnettii (small-eared galago) is the source of this 128-nucleotide small nucleolar RNA. The record is from Ensembl. NCBI's taxonomy places the organism in Eukaryota, Metazoa, Chordata, Mammalia, Primates, Galagidae.
GUUGGUUGAAAAUCACCCUCAGCUUUGGCUGUAGCCGGGAGUGAGAUGCGGCGCCCAGAGCCAGCAGGGGCCUCAGCUCACCGCCCACUGCCUCGUGUGCGGCGAGUGAAACCCAGGCCCUGACAGGU